RNAcentral lists this ribosomal RNA (1390 nucleotides) under uncultured bacterium. RNAcentral's name for it is "16S ribosomal RNA". It matches the Rfam family "Bacterial small subunit ribosomal RNA", at positions 110 to 1482 of the family's 1533-position model. The record is from RNAcentral.
GUAACUUGUAAGCAACCUGCCCGAAAGACCGGGAUAACGUUUCGAAAGAGGCGCUAAUACCGGAUGUGACCGCGAGGAGACAUCUCUUUGCGAUUAAAUCAUUUAUGGCUUUCGGAGGUGCUUGCUGCCUAUCAGCUAGAUGGAGAGGUUACGGCUCACCAUGUCGUCGACGGGUAGCUGGUCUGAGAGGACGACCAGUCACACUGGAACUGAGACACGGUCCAGACACCUACGGGUGGCAGCAGUCGAGAAUUUUUCUCAAUGGGGGAUACCCUGAAGGAGCGACGCCGCGUGGAGGAUGAAGGUCUUCGGGUUGUAUACUCCUGUCAUUUGGGAACAAGUUGCACACGUUAACUGCAUGAGCGUUGAUAGUACCAGAAGAUGAAGAGACUUGUAACUCUGUGCUAUCUGCCGCGAUAAUACAGAGGUCUCAAGCGUUGUUCGGAUUCAUUGGGCGUAAAGCGUGCUUAGGUGGCGCCGUAAGUCAUGUGUGAAAUCUCGGGGCUUAACUCCGAGACUGCAUUUGAUACUGCGGCGCUUGAGGACUGUAGAGGAGACUGGUAUCUACGGUGUAGCAGUGAAAUGCGUAGAGAUCGUAUGGAGGUCCAGUGCGGACGACGUGUCUCUGGACAGUCACUGACGCUUAGUCUCGAAGGCCAGGUGAGCAAGCGUGAUAAGAUAUCUCGGUAGUCCUGGCAGUAAUCUGAGCAUGUGUGGUGUGGGAGAGUUCGACUCUUUCUGCGCCGGAGCUAACGCGUAUAACGUGCCGCCUGGGGAGUACGGUCGCAAGAUUAAAACUCAAAGAAAUUGACGGGGGCCCGCACUAGCGGUGGAGUAUGUGGCUUAAUUCGAUGCAACGCGAAGAGCCUUACCUGGCCGUGACAUGCAUCUUNUUAGUGGUGAAAUCCAGCGAGUCUCGACAGAGACAAUAUGCACAGGUGCGGCAUGGCGGUCGUCAGCGCGUGUCGUGAGAUGUUGGGUUAAGUAAUGCAACGAGCCCAAAGACUGUGACCUGUUGACGGCGAUCCGCGAGGGUCGAGCGUCUCUGUUCAGAGCUGUCCUGUGAAUCGGGGAGGAAGGUGGGGAUGACGUCAAGUCAGUAUGGGCCUUACGUCCAGGGCUGCACGCGUACUACAAUGCUCAGUACAGAGCGAUCCGAGGUCGCGAGGUGGAGGAAAUCUACUAAAACUGGGCUCAGUUCGGAUUGGAGUCUGCAACUCGACUCCAUGAAGCCGGAAUCGCUAGUAAUGGCGCUUCAGCUACGGCGCCGUGAAUACGUUCCCGGGCCUGGUACACGCCGCUCGUCACAUCAUGGAAGUUGCUUGUAGCCGAAGUCGGCGCGCUAACCGCAAGGAGGCAGCCGCCUCAGCUAUGAGCAGUAACUGGGAUG